This 305-nucleotide unclassified non-coding RNA is filed under the name plant metagenome. RNAcentral's name for it is "partial contains 5.8S ribosomal RNA, internal transcribed spacer 2, and large subunit ribosomal RNA". The stretch from base 1 to 105 matches the Rfam family "5.8S ribosomal RNA", at positions 50 to 154 of the family's 154-position model. The record is from RNAcentral.
GAAAUGCGAUAAGUAAUGUGAAUUGCAGAAUUCAGUGAAUCAUCGAAUCUUUGAACGCACAUUGCGCCCGCCAGUAUUCUGGCGGGCAUGCCUGUUCGAGCGUCAUUUCAACCAUCAAGCCCCCGGCUUGUGUUGGGGACCUGCGGCUGCCCGCAGGCCCUGAAAAACAGUGGCGGACUCGCUGUCACACCGAGCGUAGUAGCAUACAUUCUCGCUCAGGGCGUGCUGCGGGUCCCGGCCGUUAAACGACCUUCAUAACCCAAGGUUGACCUCGGAUCAGGUAGGAAGACCCGCUGAACUUAAGC